This 497-nucleotide ribosomal RNA is filed under the name uncultured bacterium. Its description in RNAcentral is "partial 16S ribosomal RNA". It matches the Rfam family "Bacterial small subunit ribosomal RNA", at positions 28 to 507 of the family's 1533-position model. The record is from RNAcentral.
GAUGAACGCUGGCGGCGUGCCUAAUACAUGCAAGUCGAGCGAACGGACGAGAAGCUUGCUUUUCUGAUGUUAGCGGCGGACGGGUGAGUAACACGUGGAUAACCUACCUAUAAGACUAGGAUAACUUCGGGAAACCGGAGCUAAUACCGGAUAAUAUUUUGAACCGCAUGGUUCAAAAGUGAAAGACGGUCUUGCUGUCACUUAUAGAUGGAUCCGCGCUGCAUUAGCUAGUUGGUAAGGUAACGGCUUACCAAGGCAACGAUGCAUAGCCGACCUGAGAGGGUGAUCGGCCACACUGGAACUGAGACACGGUCCAGACUCCUACGGGAGGCAGCAGUAGGGAAUCUUCCGCAAUGGGCGAAAGCCUGGCGGAGCAACGCCGCGUGAGUGAUGAAGGUCUUCGGAUCGUAAAACUCUGUUAUUAGGGAAGAACAUAUGUGUAAGUAACUGUGCACAUCUUGACGGUACCUAAUCAGAAAGCCACGGCUAACUACGUG